AGACGAUGCUUACGCAUCUCCUCAGCCCAAACGGACUCUGGAUAUUGACUGCUUCUUAUAUAAUCCUUAUCCAGAACCCACA
This 82-nucleotide non-coding RNA is filed under the name Legionella pneumophila subsp. pneumophila. Its description in RNAcentral is "Legionella RNA 69". It matches the Rfam family "Legionella RNA 69". RNAcentral also lists the same sequence under 1 other name. The record is from RNAcentral. Lineage: Bacteria; Pseudomonadati; Pseudomonadota; Gammaproteobacteria; Legionellales; Legionellaceae.